UACGGAGGGGGCAAGCGUUGUUCGGAAUUAUUGGGCGUAAAGGGUAUGUAGGCGGCCGAGUAAGUCAAGCGUGUAAGCCCGUGGCUCAACCACGGAAUUGCGUUUGAAACUACGUGGCUUGAGUACAGGAGAGGAAAGCGGAAUUCCCAGUGUAGCGGUGAAAUGCAUUGAUAUUGGGAAGAACAUCUGUGGCGAAGGCGGCUUUCUGGUCUGUUACUGACGCUGAAAUACGAAAGCCAGGGGAGCGAACGGG
RNAcentral lists this ribosomal RNA (253 nucleotides) under uncultured bacterium. RNAcentral's name for it is "partial 16S ribosomal RNA". It matches the Rfam family "Bacterial small subunit ribosomal RNA", at positions 524 to 776 of the family's 1533-position model. The record is from RNAcentral.